This 465-nucleotide ribosomal RNA is filed under the name uncultured bacterium. RNAcentral describes it as "partial 16S ribosomal RNA". It matches the Rfam family "Bacterial small subunit ribosomal RNA", at positions 338 to 795 of the family's 1533-position model. The record is from RNAcentral.
CCUACGGGGGGCAGCAGUGGGGAAUAUUGGGCAAUGGAGGCAACUCUGACCCAGCAACGCCGCGUGAGGGAUGAAGGUCUUCGGAUCGUAAACCUCUGUCAGCAGGGAAGAACGGUCACUGUGCUAAUCAGCAGUGAAUUGACGGUACCUGCAAAGGAAGCACCGGCUAACUCCGUGCCAGCAGCCGCGGUAAUACGGAGGGUGCGAGCGUUAAUCGGAAUUACUGGGCGUAAAGCGCUCGUAGGCGGUAUGUCAAGUCAAGGGUGAAAUGCCCGCGCUCAACGUGGGAACUGCCUUUGAAACUGGCAAACUGGAGUGUGUGAGAGGAUAGUGGAAUUCCAGGUGUAGGAGUGAAAUCCGUAGAUAUCUGGAGGAACAUCAGUGGCGAAGGCGACUAUCUGGCACAUAACUGACGCUGAGGAGCGAAAGCGUGGGUAGCAAACAGGAUUAGAUACCCCAGUAGUC